RNAcentral lists this ribosomal RNA (2798 nucleotides) under Escherichia coli 201600.1. RNAcentral describes it as "bacterial LSU rRNA". It matches the Rfam family "Bacterial large subunit ribosomal RNA". The record is from RNAcentral. Lineage: Bacteria; Pseudomonadati; Pseudomonadota; Gammaproteobacteria; Enterobacterales; Enterobacteriaceae.
UUAAGCGACUAAGCGUACACGGUGGAUGCCCUGGCAGUCAGAGGCGAUGAAGGACGUGCUAAUCUGCGAUAAGCGUCGGUAAGGUGAUAUGAACCGUUAUAACCGGCGAUUUCCGAAUGGGGAAACCCAGUGUGUUUCGACACACUAUCAUUAACUGAAUCCAUAGGUUAAUGAGGCGAACCGGGGGAACUGAAACAUCUAAGUACCCCGAGGAAAAGAAAUCAACCGAGAUUCCCCCAGUAGCGGCGAGCGAACGGGGAGCAGCCCAGAGCCUGAAUCAGUGUGUGUGUUAGUGGAAGCGUCUGGAAAGGCGCGCGAUACAGGGUGACAGCCCCGUACACAAAAAUGCACAUGCUGUGAGCUCGAUGAGUAGGGCGGGACACGUGGUAUCCUGUCUGAAUAUGGGGGGACCAUCCUCCAAGGCUAAAUACUCCUGACUGACCGAUAGUGAACCAGUACCGUGAGGGAAAGGCGAAAAGAACCCCGGCGAGGGGAGUGAAAAAGAACCUGAAACCGUGUACGUACAAGCAGUGGGAGCCUCUUUUAUGGGGUGACUGCGUACCUUUUGUAUAAUGGGUCAGCGACUUAUAUUCUGUAGCAAGGUUAACCGAAUAGGGGAGCCGAAGGGAAACCGAGUCUUAACUGGGCGUUAAGUUGCAGGGUAUAGACCCGAAACCCGGUGAUCUAGCCAUGGGCAGGUUGAAGGUUGGGUAACACUAACUGGAGGACCGAACCGACUAAUGUUGAAAAAUUAGCGGAUGACUUGUGGCUGGGGGUGAAAGGCCAAUCAAACCGGGAGAUAGCUGGUUCUCCCCGAAAGCUAUUUAGGUAGCGCCUCGUGAAUUCAUCUCCGGGGGUAGAGCACUGUUUCGGCAAGGGGGUCAUCCCGACUUACCAACCCGAUGCAAACUGCGAAUACCGGAGAAUGUUAUCACGGGAGACACACGGCGGGUGCUAACGUCCGUCGUGAAGAGGGAAACAACCCAGACCGCCAGCUAAGGUCCCAAAGUCAUGGUUAAGUGGGAAACGAUGUGGGAAGGCCCAGACAGCCAGGAUGUUGGCUUAGAAGCAGCCAUCAUUUAAAGAAAGCGUAAUAGCUCACUGGUCGAGUCGGCCUUGCGCGGAAGAUGUAACGGGGCUAAACCAUGCACCGAAGCUGCGGCAGCGACGCUGAUGCGUUGUUGGGUAGGGGAGCGUUCUGUAAGCCUGUGAAGGUGUGCUGUGAGGCAUGCUGGAGGUAUCAGAAGUGCGAAUGCUGACAUAAGUAACGAUAAAGCGGGUGAAAAGCCCGCUCGCCGGAAGACCAAGGGUUCCUGUCCAACGUUAAUCGGGGCAGGGUGAGUCGACCCCUAAGGCGAGGCCGAAAGGCGUAGUCGAUGGGAAACAGGUUAAUAUUCCUGUACUUGGUGUUACUGCGAAGGGGGGACGGAGAAGGCUAUGUUGGCCGGGCGACGGUUGUCCCGGUUUAAGCGUGUAGGCUGGUUUUCCAGGCAAAUCCGGAAAAUCAAGGCUGAGGCGUGAUGACGAGGCACUACGGUGCUGAAGCAACAAAUGCCCUGCUUCCAGGAAAAGCCUCUAAGCAUCAGGUAACAUCAAAUCGUACCCCAAACCGACACAGGUGGUCAGGUAGAGAAUACCAAGGCGCUUGAGAGAACUCGGGUGAAGGAACUAGGCAAAAUGGUGCCGUAACUUCGGGAGAAGGCACGCUGAUAUGUAGGUGAAGUCCCUGCGGAUGGAGCUGAAAUCAGUCGAAGAUACCAGCUGGCUGCAACUGUUUAUUAAAAACACAGCACUGUGCAAACACGAAAGUGGACGUAUACGGUGUGACGCCUGCCCGGUGCCGGAAGGUUAAUUGAUGGGGUCAGCGCAAGCGAAGCUCUUGAUCGAAGCCCCGGUAAACGGCGGCCGUAACUAUAACGGUCCUAAGGUAGCGAAAUUCCUUGUCGGGUAAGUUCCGACCUGCACGAAUGGCGUAAUGAUGGCCAGGCUGUCUCCACCCGAGACUCAGUGAAAUUGAACUCGCUGUGAAGAUGCAGUGUACCCGCGGCAAGACGGAAAGACCCCGUGAACCUUUACUAUAGCUUGACACUGAACAUUGAGCCUUGAUGUGUAGGAUAGGUGGGAGGCUUAGAAGUGUGGACGCCAGUCUGCAUGGAGCCGACCUUGAAAUACCACCCUUUAAUGUUUGAUGUUCUAACGUUGACCCGUAAUCCGGGUUGCGGACAGUGUCUGGUGGGUAGUUUGACUGGGGCGGUCUCCUCCUAAAGAGUAACGGAGGAGCACGAAGGUUGGCUAAUCCUGGUCGGACAUCAGGAGGUUAGUGCAAUGGCAUAAGCCAGCUUGACUGCGAGCGUGACGGCGCGAGCAGGUGCGAAAGCAGGUCAUAGUGAUCCGGUGGUUCUGAAUGGAAGGGCCAUCGCUCAACGGAUAAAAGGUACUCCGGGGAUAACAGGCUGAUACCGCCCAAGAGUUCAUAUCGACGGCGGUGUUUGGCACCUCGAUGUCGGCUCAUCACAUCCUGGGGCUGAAGUAGGUCCCAAGGGUAUGGCUGUUCGCCAUUUAAAGUGGUACGCGAGCUGGGUUUAGAACGUCGUGAGACAGUUCGGUCCCUAUCUGCCGUGGGCGCUGGAGAACUGAGGGGGGCUGCUCCUAGUACGAGAGGACCGGAGUGGACGCAUCACUGGUGUUCGGGUUGUCAUGCCAAUGGCACUGCCCGGUAGCUAAAUGCGGAAGAGAUAAGUGCUGAAAGCAUCUAAGCACGAAACUUGCCCCGAGAUGAGUUCUCCCUGACUCCUUGA